UUACGAUCCAGAGAGGAAACUCCAUCAUGUUAAAUAUGAUGAUCGAGAUGAGGAAUGGAUAAACCUAGAAAGUGAGAGGUUUAAACUUUUGCUUUUCCCUGGGGAGGUACCGGGAAAAAGGAGAGUCAGAAAAUCUGCAAAUGCUACAGAAAGCAUUGACGAAAGAAAACUUGACUUGGUGGUAGAUGGUGACAGCCACCAAGGUAACUGUCCGGACUCUGAGCCCAUUAUAUCUUGGUUGGCUCGAUCAUCUCGUCGAGUAAAGUCUUCUCCUUCCAGGCCAUUGAAG
Molecule: unclassified non-coding RNA, 289 nt
Filed under: Hevea brasiliensis (rubber tree)
Lineage: Eukaryota; Viridiplantae; Streptophyta; Magnoliopsida; Malpighiales; Euphorbiaceae
Source: RNAcentral